This 69-nucleotide transfer RNA is filed under the name Synapturanus sp. USNM 588794. Its description in RNAcentral is "tRNA-Ala". It matches the Rfam family "tRNA". From Rfam's summary of the family: Transfer RNA (tRNA) molecules are approximately 80 nucleotides in length. Their secondary structure includes four short double-helical elements and three loops (D, anti-codon, and T loops). Further hydrogen bonds mediate the characteristic L-shaped molecular structure. tRNAs have two regions of fundamental functional importance: the anti-codon, which is responsible for specific mRNA codon recognition, and the 3' end, to which the tRNAs corresponding amino acid is attached (by aminoacyl-tRNA synthetases). tRNAs cope with the degeneracy of the genetic code in two manners: having more than one tRNA (with a specific anti-codon) for a particular amino acid; and 'wobble' base-pairing, i.e. permitting non-standard base-pairing at the 3rd anti-codon position. The record is from RNAcentral. Lineage: Eukaryota; Metazoa; Chordata; Amphibia; Anura; Microhylidae.
AAGGUCUUAUCUUAAUUAAAGUGCUUGAGUUGCAUUCAGGUGAUAUGGGUUAGAAUUCCAUAGGUCUUA